CAGAAGAUCAACUAAAUAGCUAGUCAAAUGAAGCAUCAAGAGAUGUAGAGAUUCCAAAAGAAUCAUUCCAUCCAUUUAAAAUACAGAUCUCCUAAAGCAUAACAAUUUGCCUGUAUCACGGCUGCAGCUGAGGCCCUAAUCCAAUACUGAGGCUCCAGAAAACUAAUCAAAAUACAACAAAUUUUGUUUGAUUUGAAGAAAGACAGAAAUGUCUGUAACGGUACCCAUUCCUGUUUAUUAUGCUACAAUUUCUUUGUCUUUUUUCUUUUCUUUGGACAAUUAUGUCAGCUUUGUCUUCUCAUUAUGCCUUUGAAUACACAAAACUACUUAGAUUAUGAAGUGACGCCAAAAAGUGAGUAGCUGGCACGAAUGCAGUCAGACCAAACAGAACUACGAGAAGUUCUUCAAAAAUAAUUUUCAAAGCAUAUCAUUGCAUCUGAGCACUUGUAAUUUAACAAGGUAAAUUGCAUGCUUUUCGCGCGGUGGUAAACUACGGUAAUAAUCUACUUCUGAACAUUUGAUAAUAUAAGUGUUUUCGAAUGGGUACAACCCAACAAUAAAUUGUCAAGAAUAUUUUAUCCAAAGACAAAAUAAAAUAUUUUUUUAAACUUAAAACGAUUUGAUUCUACGUGUUUAUGGAUUUAGUUAUUGAUUCUUCAUUUUACUGUAGUUAUUCAUCACCAAAUCUUUAGAAAAGAUAGGUAAUUGUUUCAUUGUCUAUAUUUGUAUUUUCCAAAAGUGGUACAAACAUUUUAUUCAUCAAUUGCGAGAGUUCUUCUCUUAUUCAAGGCCUCCCUCUACAUACAAAAUCUAAAUAUUAUACAUUUUAUAUAAUUAGUUGUGUGCUUGAUAAGUUAAUUAAAAUUUUAAAAAACAUCUCUUGGAAUUUCAAUGAAAUAAGGCAAGUCACUCAAAUAAUUCGGAUUAAAUGAUGUCUUGGCAAGACCCUUAUUCAAAUCAUUAUGUAUGACACUACUUUGAUACCCAAAAUGCAUAUUUUGUUGUUUAUGUUCCGAUCAAUAUGGUUGAGUAUAAUACUUACCAUCCCGCUACAUUUUCCUUUAUUUUUUGAAUGUCACUAAUCGAUUGAAUGUCUAGAUAAGAUAGAAAGUUGAAUAACUAAACUCCAUGGUAGAGUAGAACCACCAUAACUUUUGAACACUCAAAAGUUUCUUCUUGAACAUCCCAUGAAUCUUUUAGCCACUAAAACUCUAUAAAGAUCAAAGUCAUUUAUUUUAUAAGUUCAAGAAUUUUAAUCUACAUGACAUCACUACAUCAAAUUCUUGAUUAACAUAUCUUUAUUUCAACAUAAACAUAAACAUAAACAACAAAGUUUAAAACAUGUACUCAAAAACAACUAAUAACAUAAGCAUAAAUGAGCGUAAAAAACAUACCAAGAUUUGUAACAAAAGAAUGAAUAGAUACUUUUAGGAUAGAACGAUUAUAUUCACCGUUGUAUAGAUUCAAAAACAAUGAUGUCAGUGAACCACUCAACAGGAGCAAAGUACACAAAUAUUUAAUUGUGCAUAAGCAGAAGAAAAAAUUUAGAAUUUUCGUCGUUUUAAAAUGAAAGAAAAUUCCUCUAUUUAUAGACAACAAAAGGAUAGUGUGAAUAAAUGGUUAUGGUGUCUUAUCGGAAAUGUAAUAAUCCUUUGGAAAAGUCACAACUCUACAUAAAAGUUACAACUUUCAUAAAAGUUACAACUUUCAUAAAAGUUACAACUCUUUGUAAAAGUCGCAAAGUUUCAUAAGUCACAACUUUUGAUGAAAGGGAAGGCUAAUUUUGGAAAUAAAUAAAUUAAAAGGGAAUCCUGAUUUGUGGUGGCGCCACUUAGGCAGCCUAGGGUUCUCUUUAUAUAUAUAGAGAGAGAGAGGUAAAUUAACUAUAUUAUUAAGCUCACAUAUGAUCAUUUAGUAAUAUCCGUAUUUUCCAUACAUACACUACAUUGUCAAUAACAUUUUAUCUCAAGGAAAAGAUUCAUAUGAAAUCUUAAAGUGCUAUAUUUUUUUAAUUUUCGUUUUUGUUGCACAAAAAGUGUUUCAUAUUAAAGUGCUUUUUUAUAAAAAAAAAUAGUUUUUGUUGCAAAAAAAUUAUGAGUAGUAGAGAGAUAAAUCAGUAGAACUGCAAAACAUGAAGAAAUUUAAUCUACUAAUUUGUGUCCACUUUUUUAUUGAUAAGUUCCAAUAAUACUUCAACU
RNAcentral lists this long non-coding RNA (2198 nucleotides) under Solanum lycopersicum (tomato). RNAcentral describes it as "partial TCONS_00014128". Lineage: Eukaryota; Viridiplantae; Streptophyta; Magnoliopsida; Solanales; Solanaceae. The record is from RNAcentral.